CGGGGUGCAGCAGGCGCGAAACCUUAGCAAUGUGCGAAAGCACGACUGGGUCAGUCCGAGUGAUUCCUGAUAAAGGAGUCUUUUGCUUGUCCUAAAAGCACAGGUGAAUAAGGGGUGGGCAAGUCUGGUGUCAGCCGCCGCGGUAAUACCAGCACCUCGAGUGGUCAGGACGUUUAUUGGGCCUAAAGCAUCCGUAGCCGGCUCUGCAAGUCUUCGGUUAAAUCCACCUGCUCAACAGAUGGGCUGCUGGAGAUACUACAGAGCUAGGGAGUGGGAGAGGCAGACGGUAUUCAGUGGGUAGGGGUAAAAUCCUCUGAUCCAUUGAGGACCACCAGUGGCGAAGGCGGUCUGCCAGAACACGUUCGACGGUGAGGGAUGAAAGCUGGGGGAGCAAACCGGAUUAGAUACCCGGGUAGUCCCAGCUGUAAACGAUGCAAACUCGGUGAUGCAUUGGCUUAUGGCCAAUGCAGUGCCGCAGGGAAGCCGUUAAGUUUGCCGCCUGGGAAGUACGGACGCAAGUCUGAAACUUAAAGGAAUUGGCGGGGGAGCAC
This 551-nucleotide ribosomal RNA is filed under the name uncultured archaeon. RNAcentral's name for it is "bacterial SSU rRNA". It matches the Rfam family "Archaeal small subunit ribosomal RNA", at positions 326 to 879 of the family's 1478-position model. The record is from RNAcentral.